UGGGGAAUCUUGCACAGUGGGGGAAACCCUGAUGCAGCGACGCCGCGUGAACGAUGAAGCCCUUCGGGGUGUAAAGUUCUUUCGACAGGAACGAUAAUGACGGUACCUGGAGAAGAAGCUGCGGCUAACUACGUGCCAGCAGCCGCGGUAAUACGUAGGCAGCGAGCGUUGUUCGGAGUUACUGGGCGUAAAGAGUGCGUAGGCGGCGAGCCAAGUUUGGUGUGAAAUCUCCCGGCUUAACCGGGAGGGUGCGCCGAAAACUGGUUGGCUGGAGUAUGGGAGAGGAAAGCGGAAUUCCUGGUGUAGCGGUGAAAUGCGUAGAUAUCAGGAGGAACACCUGCGGUGUAGACAGCUUUCUGGACCAAAACUGACGCUGAGGCACGAAAGCGUGGGUAGCAAACA
RNAcentral lists this ribosomal RNA (402 nucleotides) under uncultured bacterium. RNAcentral's name for it is "bacterial SSU rRNA". It matches the Rfam family "Bacterial small subunit ribosomal RNA", at positions 355 to 774 of the family's 1533-position model. The record is from RNAcentral.